GCCAGGCAUGGUGGUGCAUGCCUGUAAUCCCAGCUACUUGGGAGGCUGAGCCAGGAGAAUCGCUUGAACCCAGGAGGCAGAGGUUGCAGUGAGAUCGUACCACUUCACCCCAACCUGGGUAACAGAGUGAGACCCUGUCUCAA
Macaca fascicularis (crab-eating macaque) is the source of this 143-nucleotide unclassified non-coding RNA. It matches the Rfam family "Metazoan signal recognition particle RNA". Rfam says of the family: The signal recognition particle (SRP) is a universally conserved ribonucleoprotein. It is involved in the co-translational targeting of proteins to membranes. The record is from Ensembl. Lineage: Eukaryota; Metazoa; Chordata; Mammalia; Primates; Cercopithecidae.